UGAGCAAUCUGCCCUUCUCUUCGGAAUAAGCGUGGGAAACCGCGUCUAAUGCCGAAUACGACCUCCUUUCGCAUGAUCGGAGGUGGAAAGCUCCGGCGGAGAAGGAUGAGCUCGCGGCCUAUCAGCUAGUUGGUGUGGGUAAUGGCCCACCAAGGCGACGACGGGUAGCCGGCCUGAGAGGGUGACCGGCCACACUGGGACUGAGACACGGCCAGACCUCCGUACGGGGAGGNAGCG
This 237-nucleotide ribosomal RNA is filed under the name uncultured bacterium. RNAcentral describes it as "partial 16S ribosomal RNA". It matches the Rfam family "Bacterial small subunit ribosomal RNA", at positions 118 to 353 of the family's 1533-position model. The record is from RNAcentral.